Molecule: ribosomal RNA, 497 nt
Filed under: uncultured bacterium
Lineage: Bacteria
Description: partial 16S ribosomal RNA
Rfam family: Bacterial small subunit ribosomal RNA
Source: RNAcentral
GAUGAACGCUGGCGGCGUGCCUAAUACAUGCAAGUCGAGCGAACAGACGAGGAGCUUGCUCCUCUGACGUUAGCGGCGGACGGGUGAGUAACACGUGGAUAACCUACCUAUAAGACUGGGAUAACUUCGGGAAACCGGAGCUAAUACCGGAUAAUAUAUUGAACCGCAUGGUUCAAUAUUGAAAGACGGUUUUGCUGUCACUUAUAGAUGGAUCCGCGCCGCAUUAGCUAGUUGGUAAGGUAGCGGCUUACCAAGGCAACGAUGCGUAGCCGACCUGAGAGGGUGAUCGGCCACACUGGAACUGAGACAAGGUCCAGACUCCUACGGGAGGCAGCAGUAGGGAAUCUUCCGCAAUGGGCGAAAGCCUGACGGAGCAACGCCGCGUGAGUGAUGAAGGUCUUCGGAUCGUAAAACUCUGUUAUUAGGGAAGAACAAAUGUGUAAGUAACUAUGCACGUCUUGACGGUACCUAAUCAGAAAGCCACGGCUAACUACGUG